CACCUCUCAGGGUCGCACCUGGAGAGUUUCCGGCACUAUACCAGUCUCGACUAUGGGAGGGAGAGUCAAGCAGAGGUCUACCCAUCCCAUUUCUAGCUUGGCCAGUGGCUAGCGAGUGGAAGGCAAUCUACCACAAGU
Small nucleolar RNA from Ornithorhynchus anatinus (platypus), 138 nucleotides. The record is from RefSeq and is a predicted model, not a curated record. NCBI's taxonomy places the organism in Eukaryota, Metazoa, Chordata, Mammalia, Monotremata, Ornithorhynchidae.